RNAcentral lists this ribosomal RNA (508 nucleotides) under uncultured bacterium. RNAcentral's name for it is "bacterial SSU rRNA". It matches the Rfam family "Bacterial small subunit ribosomal RNA", at positions 791 to 1301 of the family's 1533-position model. The record is from RNAcentral.
UAGUCUACGCCGUAAACGAUGGAUACUAGUUGUUUGAUCUUCGGAUUGAGUGACUAAGCGAAAGUGAUAAGUAUCCCACCUGGGGAGUACGUUCGCAAGAAUGAAACUCAAAGGAAUUGACGGGGGCCCGGCACAAGCGGUGGAGCAUGUGGUUUAAUUCGAUGAUACGCGAGGAACCUUACCAGGGCUUAAAUGUAGUCUGACAGCUUUAGAGAUAGAGUUUUCUUCGGACAGAUUACAAGGUGCUGCAUGGUUGUCGUCAGCUCGUGCCGUGAGGUGUCAGGUUAAGUCCUAUAACGAGCGCAACCCCUGUUGUUAGUUGCCAGCGAGUAAUGUCGGGGAACUCUAGCAAGACUGCCGGUGCAAACCGCGAGGAAGGUGGGGAUGACGUCAAAUCAUCACGGCCCUUACGUCCCUGGGCCACACACAUGCUACAAUGGUAGGUACAGAGGGUAGCGAAGCGGCGACGUGGAGCCAAUCCCAGAAAGCCUAUCCCAGUUCGGAUUGG